UGGAAAGCCGCUUCUUAAGAAUCCAUCAUUUGUGCAAAGGACCCGCUAGUGUAGUGGUUUGGAGUAUUUACUCCCUCAGGCAAGGUCCUGGGUUUGAGUCCUAGCAUCCGUGUUGUGUGUGUGAGUUUAAUAUGCUAUCGCCCCUUUCAAUAGAAAAGGUCCUAAAAAAAAUAAAAAUAAAUAAAAAGAACCCAUCAUUUGUUUAUACGUUACUUUGUCUGGUGUACUUAUUUUUGCAAGCUUCAAAGAAGAUCAUAGAUAAGAUAAUUUAUUUGGAAGUAUCCCGCCAUUCCAGGCCCAAUCAAAUACUUAAGGUCUGUUUGUUACACAAGCUUAGCUUGGCCUGGCUUGGAGCCUAGCUUGGACUACAUUUUAGUCUCAUGUUUAUUUCAUCUAAUCCUAGUCUUGGAUGAGAUUGCUAAUACCGGUCCACCAAAAAUACCUUCUUAGGAGGAGGCUAUUAAACCCAUGUGGAAAGGGAGGACUAGUUCCAUACUCACCAAUGUAUAAGAUGCAUAUAUUAUAUUGUAAUAAUAAUAACAUAUAUUAUUAUUCUUAUUAUUAUAUACCCAUAUAUAUAUAUAUAUUAUAUUUUAUAUACACACACACACACAUAUAUAUAAUAUGUAUAUAC
RNAcentral lists this long non-coding RNA (634 nucleotides) under Prunus persica (peach). RNAcentral describes it as "long non-coding RNA (PPER_LNC000920)". Lineage: Eukaryota; Viridiplantae; Streptophyta; Magnoliopsida; Rosales; Rosaceae. The record is from RNAcentral.